Small nucleolar RNA from Anolis carolinensis (green anole), 131 nucleotides. NCBI's taxonomy places the organism in Eukaryota, Metazoa, Chordata, Lepidosauria, Squamata, Anolidae. The record is from Ensembl.
GCAGACUCACUCUGUGCCUGACUGCAAUAUUCAGCCAAGGUGCUUUUUAGGUCUGCUAGAGUAAUGAUCAAGGAUGUUGUGAACAUAUCCCUGUUGUGGGACUCUGUUUCAAUUGGUCUUGGCACACCAUG